GACUUGCACUGUCCCCUGGGCUGGAAUGCAGUGGCAUGAUCUCGACUCAUUGCAACCUCUGCCUCCCAGGUUCAAGUGAUUCUUCUGCCUCAGCCUCCCGACUAGUUGGGAUUACAGGUGCCCAAUACCACGCCUGGCUAAUUUUUUUUUUAUUUUUAGUAGAAAGGGGGUUUCACUGUGUUGGCCAGGCUGGUCUCGAACCCCUGACCUCGUGAUCCGCUCACCUUGGCCUCCCAAAGUGCCGGGAUUGCAGGCGUGAGCCACCGCACCCAGCCUGAAGACUUUUAAAGCAUCAAAGCAUCUUGAAAACACCUGCUGCAGUGUUUUCAAGCUGGGGCCAUGGCAUCCUCAAAACUAAAUGCCCAUCUAACAUUAUCUGCAGGGUGAAUAAAUAAUAGAUGUUCUACUAUUUAUUAAAAAGUGCUACUAGAUUAAUUGUAGUGUUUUCUCAUUUUGUGUCUUUUCAAUUAACAGAUUCUACAAGCCCAAGUUUUUUUAUUGAGGAAUAUACGACAUCUUUUUAAGAUUAAACAAGGUCUUUAAAGCCAAAAUUGAUCCAAUUCAAUCCCUUCAUUGCAGACGAGGAACAGGUUGAAGCUCUUCAACAAAUCUCUCCUCAGCCAAAUACAUCUGGUACCUUAAUGGAGUCGACAGCACAGGCUUCUGAUUAGUUCACACAUCACUCACCAAUUAGAAUAGAAGCACUGAGUUCCUGAAAAAGUGCCAAACUGAAUGGUGCAGUCCUGCCGAAAGAGACCCUGCGCUGUGCUGUGUUCUCAAAGGAAGGAAUGUGUUUCACAUCUCUACACCUCUGCAACUUGGGACAGCGUAGCUUUCCUAUUUUCUGGCACCCAAAAAGGGACAGCUGAUACACCCCACUCACUCCAGACUCUGCAGAUGAGAUCUGGGACAACUGACAAAAAGCUGGAGACAGGUAAGAAUUCUUGCCAAGGUCAGCUCUCCUGGAUCUUUAUCAGUAGCACCCCGUGGAGAGAAGAAGGUUAAAAACUUUUUCUUUCCCCUUACUUCCCAAAUUCUGAGUAUCAAGAGAAAAUCAUUUGUUUGAAUUGUGACUCCUAUGUAAAUGUGAUUUGGGGUACCCAUUCAUUAUUGAUCCUUUCCCUCCCAGGGACAGCUAUAACUUUC
Long non-coding RNA from Pan troglodytes (chimpanzee), 1146 nucleotides. NCBI's taxonomy places the organism in Eukaryota, Metazoa, Chordata, Mammalia, Primates, Hominidae. The record is from Ensembl.